ACUAAAUUAGUAUAAUCAGUAUUUUAACACUAGAAAAUUACGAUUUUUAUAAAAAUUCAACUUAACAAUAUUUUUUAUCUACAUAACAAAAGUCUUUCUAUAAAAUGUAAUAAAACAUUGUGCCAGCCAUUGCGGUUAAACAUUAACACUAAUUAAAACCUUUUCAAUUAUUUACCUUUUACAAAUACACUAAUUAAUAGUAAAAUAUAAUUCCUUACAAACAAACAAUAAUACAAAACUUUAUACAAACUAGGAUUAGAUACCCUACUAUUUUAAGAAAAAUUAAGGUAGUAACAUUUUAAGAAAAACCUAUAUAUUUUGGCGGCAAAAUUUUCUUAAAGGAACUUGUUUUUUAAUCGAUAAUACCCGUUAAUUUUCACCUUACUAUUAAAAGCUUAUAUACCGCCGUUUAAAACCACUUUAAAUACUCUCAUUAAAAUUUACUUUAAAAAUUCAGGUCAAGGUGUAGCCUACACUAAGAGAUAAAAUUAGUUACUUAUAAAAAAAUUUAUAGAAAAUAUAUAAAUAACAAUAAAAAAGGAUUUAAAUUCAAUUCAUUAAUAAUAAUAAUAAGUGAAAUUACCCCAUCGUGCACAUAUCGCCCGUCACCCUCUACAACACAGAGGUAAGUCGUAACACAGUUGGGGUUCUGGAAAGAGCCCCAUGAUC
Molecule: ribosomal RNA, 669 nt
Filed under: Parachtes ignavus
Lineage: Eukaryota; Metazoa; Arthropoda; Arachnida; Araneae; Dysderidae
Description: 12S ribosomal RNA
Source: RNAcentral